GCUCCCCGGAACCCUAGCCUCCCUCUACCUUGUUCCACCGUGUUUUCACCAGAGUCCAUGGUUUCUCAGGCCAUGGAUAGCCUAUACCUACCUCCUAUGGCUCCUGCAUGCCUGUUGUUCGAAGUUUCGAGGCUAGACCUCGAGGUUCUUCACUCAGACCCUCACUGAUUCGAGGAUUCCGGCCAUCUCCGGUCUUGCUCCGGUGGUUCUUGUUCUUUUUGUGCAUGAUUAUGACAUUAUACGACUUAGAUCAGAUAUUUUUGAAGCCUUUCUCAUCUCUAGGGUUCCUC
This 290-nucleotide long non-coding RNA is filed under the name Nicotiana benthamiana. Its description in RNAcentral is "long non-coding RNA (NBEN_LNC020573)". The record is from RNAcentral. Lineage: Eukaryota; Viridiplantae; Streptophyta; Magnoliopsida; Solanales; Solanaceae.